RNAcentral lists this ribosomal RNA (253 nucleotides) under uncultured bacterium. RNAcentral describes it as "partial 16S ribosomal RNA". It matches the Rfam family "Bacterial small subunit ribosomal RNA", at positions 524 to 776 of the family's 1533-position model. The record is from RNAcentral.
GACAGAGGGUGCAAACGUUGUUCGGAAUUACUGGGCGUAAAGGGCGCGUAGGCGGCACUGUUAGUCAGGCGUGAAAUUCCUGGGCUCAACCUGGGGACUGCGCUUGAUACGGCAGAGCUUGAGGAUGGAAGAGGGUCGCGGAAUUCCCAGUGUAGAGGUGAAAUUCGUAGAUAUUGGGAAGAACACCGGUGGCGAAGGCGGCGACCUGGUCCAUUACUGACGCUGAGGCGCGACAGCGUGGGGAGCAAACAGG